Molecule: ribosomal RNA, 2899 nt
Filed under: Proteus mirabilis
Lineage: Bacteria; Pseudomonadati; Pseudomonadota; Gammaproteobacteria; Enterobacterales; Morganellaceae
Description: bacterial LSU rRNA
Rfam family: Bacterial large subunit ribosomal RNA
Source: RNAcentral
UUAAGCGAAUAAGCGUACACGGUGGAUGCCUAGGCAAUCAGAGGCGAUGAAGGACGUGCUAAUCUGCGAAAAGCGUCGGUAAGGUGAUAUGAACCGUUAUACCCGAUGAUAUCCGAAUGGGGAAACCCAGUAUCCAAUGGAUACUAUCAUUAACUGAAUCCAUAGGUUAAUGAGGCGAACCGGGAGAACUGAAACAUCUCAGUACCCCGAGGAAAAGAAAUCAACCGAGAUUCCCCUAGUAGCGGCGAGCGAACGGGGAGCAGCCCAGAGUCUUAAUCAAUAACAGUGUCAGGAGAACGGUCUGGAAAGUCCGGCAGUAAAGGGUGAUAGCCCCGUAUCUGAAGAUGCUGUUAUUGUGAACUCGACGAGUAGGGCGGGACACGUGUUAUCCUGUCUGAAUAUGGGGGGACCAUCCUCCAAGGCUAAAUACUCCUGAUUGACCGAUAGUGAACCAGUACCGUGAGGGAAAGGCGAAAAGAACCCCGGCGAGGGGAGUGAAAAAGAACCUGAAACCGUGUACGUACAAGCAGUAGGAGCCUCUUUAUGGGGUGACUGCGUACCUUUUGUAUAAUGGGUCAGCGACUUAUAUUCUGUAGCGAGGUUAACCGCAUAGGGGAGCCGUAGGGAAACCGAGUCUUAACUGGGCGAAUGAGUUGCAGGGUAUAGACCCGAAACCCGGUGAUCUAUCCAUGGGCAGGUUGAAGGUUGGGUAACACUAACUGGAGGACCGAACCGACUAAUGUUGAAAAAUUAGCGGAUGACUUGUGGAUGGGGGUGAAAGGCCAAUCAAACCGGGAGAUAGCUGGUUCUCCCCGAAAGCUAUUUAGGUAGCGCCUCGUGAACUCAUCUUCGGGGGUAGAGCACUGUUUCGACUAGGGGGUCAUCCCGACUUACCAACUCGAUGCAAACUGCGAAUACCGAAGAAUGUUAUCACGGGAGACACACGGCGGGUGCUAACGUCCGUCGUGAAGAGGGAAACAACCCAGACCGCCAGCUAAGGUCCCAAAGUCAUGGUUAAGUGGGAAACGAAGUGGGAAGGCUCAGACAGCCAGGAUGUUGGCUUAGAAGCAGCCAUCAUUUAAAGAAAGCGUAAUAGCUCACUGGUCGAGUCGGCCCGCGCGGAAGAUGUAACGGGGCUAAACCAUGCACCGAAGCUGCGGCAGCGACACGUAGUGUUGUUGGGUAGGGGAGCGUUCUGUAAGCCUGCGAAGGUGUACUGUGAGGUAUGCUGGAGGUAUCAGAAGUGCGAAUGCUGACAUAAGUAACGAUAAUGCGGGUGAAAAACCCGCACGCCGGAAGACCAAGGGUUCCUGUCCAACGUUAAUCGGGGCAGGGUGAGUCGACCCCUAAGGCGAGGCUGAAAAGCGUAGUCGAUGGGAAACGGGUUAAUAUUCCCGUACUGGUGGUAACUGCGAUGGGGGAACGGAGAAGGCUAGGUUGUCCGGGCGACGGUCGUCCCGGUUCAAGCAGGUAGGCAGAGUGAUUAGGCAAAUCCGGUCACUUAAUGCUGAGAUGUGAUGACGAACCACUAAGGUGGUGAAGCAAUUGAUGCCCCGCUUCCAGGAAAAGCCUCUAAGCUUCAGGUUACCAACAAUCGUACCCCAAACCGACACAGGUGGUCAGGUAGAGAAUACUCAGGCGCUUGAGAGAACUCGGGUGAAGGAACUAGGCAAAAUGGUGCCGUAACUUCGGGAGAAGGCACGCUGGCAGUAGGUAAAGUCCCUCGCGGACGGCGCUGAAGCCAGUCGAAGAUACCAGCUGGCUGCAACUGUUUAUUAAAAACACAGCACUGUGCAAACACGAAAGUGGACGUAUACGGUGUGACGCCUGCCCGGUGCUGGAAGGUUAAUUGAUGGGGUUAGCGUAAGCGAAGCUCCUGAUCGAAGCCCCAGUAAACGGCGGCCGUAACUAUAACGGUCCUAAGGUAGCGAAAUUCCUUGUCGGGUAAGUUCCGACCUGCACGAAUGGCGUAAUGAUGGCCAGGCUGUCUCCACCCGAGACUCAGUGAAAUUGAACUCGCUGUGAAGAUGCAGUGUACCCGCGGCAAGACGGAAAGACCCCGUGAACCUUUACUAUAGCUUGACACUGAACAUUGAGCCUUGAUGUGUAGGAUAGGUGGGAGGCUUUGAAGUGUGGACGCCAGUCUGCAUGGAGCCAACCUUGAAAUACCACCCUUUAACGUUUGAUGUUCUAACCUAGGCCCAUAAACUGGGUCGGGGACCGUGUCUGGUGGGUAGUUUGACUGGGGCGGUCUCCUCCUAAAGAGUAACGGAGGAGCACGAAGGUUGGCUAAGCAUGGUCGGACAUCAUGCGGUUAGUGCAAAGGCAUAAGCCAGCUUGACUGCGAGAGUGACGGCUCGAGCAGGUACGAAAGUAGGUCUUAGUGAUCCGGUGGUUCUGAAUGGAAGGGCCAUCGCUCAACGGAUAAAAGGUACUCCGGGGAUAACAGGCUGAUACCGCCCAAGAGUUCAUAUCGACGGCGGUGUUUGGCACCUCGAUGUCGGCUCAUCACAUCCUGGGGCUGAAGUAGGUCCCAAGGGUAUGGCUGUUCGCCAUUUAAAGUGGUACGCGAGCUGGGUUUAGAACGUCGUGAGACAGUUCGGUCCCUAUCUGCCGUGGGCGUUGGAAGAUUGAGAGGGGUUGCUCCUAGUACGAGAGGACCGGAGUGAACGCACCACUGGUGUUCGGGUUGUCAUGCCAAUGGCAUUGCCCGGUAGCUAAGUGCGGAAGAGAUAACCGCUGAAAGCAUCUAAGCGGGAAACUUGCCUCGAGAUGAGUCUUCCCUGUCGCUUUAAGCGACCUAAAGGAACGUUUAAGACUAAGACGUUGAUAGGCUGGGUGUGUAAGCGUAGCGAUACGUUGAGCUAACCAGUACUAAUGAACCGUGAGGCUUAACCUG